AUAGCUGGUUCUCCCCGAAAGCUAUUUAGGUAGCGCCUCGUGAAUUCAUCUCCGGGGGUAGAGCACUGUUUCGGCUAGGGGGCCAUCCCGGCUUACCAACCCGAUGCAAACUGCGAAUACCGGAGAAUGUUAUCACGGGAGACACACGGCGGGUGCUAACGUCCGUCGUGAAGAGGGAAACAACCCAGACCGCCAGCUAAGGUCCCAAAGUCAUGGUUAAGUGGGAAACGAUGUGGGAAGGCCCAGACAGCCAGGAUGUUGGCUUAGAAGCAGCCAUCAUUUAAAGAAAGCGUAAUAGCUCACUGGUCGAGUCGGCCUGCGCGGAAGAUGUAACGGGGCUAAACCAUGCACCGAAGCUGCGGCAGCGAACGUAUCACCCAAGACAACUUUACGGAGUUGACGAUUGACGGAGCGAAGCGACGUCAAAGCGUUCAUUAAAGUCGAGUUGGCUUAGGGAUACGUUCGUUGGGUAGGGGAGCGUUCUGUAAGCCUGUGAAGGUGUGUCGUGAGGCAUGCUGGAGGUAUCAGAAGUGCGAAUGCUGACAUAAGUAACGAUAAAGCGGGUGAAAAGCCCGCUCGCCGGAAGACCAAGGGUUCCUGUCCAACGUUAAUCGGGGCAGGGUGAGUCGACCCCUAAGGCGAGGCCGAAAGGCGUAGUCGAUGGGAAACGGGUUAAUAUUCCCGUACUUGGUGUUACUGCGAAGGGGGGACGGAGAAGGCUAUGUUGGCCGGGCGACGGUUGUCCCGGUUUAAGCGUGUAGGUGUGUGUUCCAGGUAAAUCCGGUUCACUUUAACACUGAGGCGUGACGACGAGGCACUACGGUGCUGAAGCAACAAAUGCCCUGCUUCCAGGAAAAGCCUCUAAGCAUCAGGUAACACGAAAUCGUACCCCAAACCGACACAGGUGGUCAGGUAGAGAAUACCAAGGCGCUUGAGAGAACUCGGGUGAAGGAACUAGGCAAAAUGGUGCCGUAACUUCGGGAGAAGGCACGCUGACACGUAGGUGAAGUGAUUUACUCAUGGAGCUGAAGUCAGUCGAAGAUACCAGCUGGCUGCAACUGUUUAUUAAAAACACAGCACUGUGCAAACACGAAAGUGGACGUAUACGGUGUGACGCCUGCCCGGUGCCGGAAGGUUAAUUGAUGGGGUCAGCGCAAGCGAAGCUCCUGAUCGAAGCCCCGGUAAACGGCGGCCGUAACUAUAACGGUCCUAAGGUAGCGAAAUUCCUUGUCGGGUAAGUUCCGACCUGCACGAAUGGCGUAAUGAUGGCCAGGCUGUCUCCACCCGAGACUCAGUGAAAUUGAACUCGCUGUGAAGAUGCAGUGUACCCGCGGCAAGACGGAAAGACCCCGUGAACCUUUACUAUAGCUUGACACUGAACAUUGAGCCUUGAUGUGUAGGAUAGGUGGGAGGCUUUGAAGUGUGGACGCCAGUCUGCAUGGAGCCGACCUUGAAAUACCACCCUUUAAUGUUUGAUGUUCUAACGUGGACCCGUAAUCCGGGUUGCGGACAGUGUCUGGUGGGUAGUUUGACUGGGGCGGUCUCCUCCUAAAGAGUAACGGAGGAGCACGAAGGUUGGCUAAUCCUGGUCGGACAUCAGGAGGUUAGUGCAAUGGCAUAAGCCAGCUUGACUGCGAGCGUGACGGCGCGAGCAGGUGCGAAAGCAGGUCAUAGUGAUCCGGUGGUUCUGAAUGGAAGGGCCAUCGCUCAACGGAUAAAAGGUACUCCGGGGAUAACAGGCUGAUACCGCCCAAGAGUUCAUAUCGACGGCGGUGUUUGGCACCUCGAUGUCGGCUCAUCACAUCCUGGGGCUGAAGUAGGUCCCAAGGGUAUGGCUGUUCGCCAUUUAAAGUGGUACGCGAGCUGGGUUUAGAACGUCGUGAGACAGUUCGGUCCCUAUCUGCCGUGGGCGCUGGAGAACUGAGGGGGGCUGCUCCUAGUACGAGAGGACCGGAGUGGACGCAUCACUGGUGUUCGGGUUGUCAUGCCAAUGGCACUGCCCGGUAGCUAAAUGCGGAAGAGAUAAGUGCUGAAAGCAUCUAAGCACGAAACUUGCCCCGAGAUGAGUUCUCCCUGAGACUUAGAGUCUCCUGAAGGAACGUUGAAGACG
This 2110-nucleotide ribosomal RNA is filed under the name Salmonella enterica. Its description in RNAcentral is "partial 23S ribosomal RNA". It matches the Rfam family "Bacterial large subunit ribosomal RNA", at positions 845 to 2846 of the family's 2925-position model. The record is from RNAcentral. Lineage: Bacteria; Pseudomonadati; Pseudomonadota; Gammaproteobacteria; Enterobacterales; Enterobacteriaceae.